This 387-nucleotide unclassified non-coding RNA is filed under the name uncultured Tepidisphaerales bacterium. Its description in RNAcentral is "contains 16S-23S intergenic spacer region". Lineage: Bacteria; Pseudomonadati; Planctomycetota; Phycisphaerae; Tepidisphaerales. The record is from RNAcentral.
UCCGGUUUAACACCGGCAGUCUCGUUAGAGUGCCCACCAUUACAUGCUGGCAACUAACGAUAAGGGUUUCGCUCGUUAUGGGACUUAACCCGACACUUCACAGCACGAGCUGACGACAGCCAUGCAGCACCUGUGAUAGUUCUGGAUUGGAUACCAGUCAUAGGCGUUUCCGCUUCUUACUUCUACCAUGUCAAGUCCAGGAUAAGGUUCUUCGCGUUGCUUCGAAUUGAGCCACAUGCUCCACCGCUUGUGUGAGCCCCCGUCAAUUCCUUUGAGUUUUAGCCUUGCGACCGUACUUCCCAGGUGGCAGACUUAACAAUUUCGCUCCGACCGCAACGGGGUAAGACCCGCUGCAAUCUAGUCUGCAUCGUUUAGGGCGUGGACUAC